AGCAGCCGCGGUAAUUCCAGCUCCAAUAGCGUAUAUUAAAGUUGUUGCAGUUAAAAAGCUCGUAGUUGAAUUUCGGGAUUGACACAUCGGUCGUGCCUUAAGGGGUGUGAACUGGUGUAGUCAAUUUCUCACCUUCUGGAGAACCGCGAUGUCCUUAAUUGGGUGCCGCGAGGAACCAGGACCUUUACUUUGAAAAAAUUAGAGUGUUUAAAGCAGGCAUUUUUGCUUGAAUACAUUAGCAUGGAAUAAUAAAAUAGGACGGCAUGAUUCUAUUUUGUUGGUUUCUAGGAUCACCGUAAUGAUUAAUAGGGAUAGUUGGGGGCAUUAGUAUUCAAUUGUCAGAGGUGAAAUUCUUGGAUUUAUUGAAGACUAACUACUGCGAAAGCAUUUGCCAAGGAUGUUUUCAUUAAUCAAGAACGAAAGUUAGGGGAUCGAAGACGAUCAGAUACCGUCGUAGUCUUAACCAUAAACUAUGCCGACUAGGAAUCAGACGAUGUUAAUUUUUUAAUGACUCGUUUGGCACCUUACG
Molecule: ribosomal RNA, 529 nt
Filed under: uncultured Glomus
Lineage: Eukaryota; Fungi; Glomeromycota; Glomeromycetes; Glomerales; Glomeraceae
Also listed under: 2 other names
Description: SSU rRNA
Rfam family: Eukaryotic small subunit ribosomal RNA
Source: RNAcentral